This 384-nucleotide ribosomal RNA is filed under the name uncultured bacterium. RNAcentral's name for it is "bacterial SSU rRNA". It matches the Rfam family "Bacterial small subunit ribosomal RNA", at positions 28 to 409 of the family's 1533-position model. The record is from RNAcentral.
GACGAACGCUGGCGGCGUGCUUAACACAUGCAAGUCGAGCGGUAAGGCCCUUUCGGGGGUACACGAGCGGCGAACGGGUGAGUAACACGUGGGUGACCUGCCCUCAGCUCUGGGAUAAGCCUGGGAAACCGGGUCUAAUACUGGAUAUGACUCCAUGACGCAUGUUGGUGGGGUGGAAAGCCUUGUGCGGCUGAGGAUGGGCCCGCGGCCUAUCAGCUUGUUGGUGGGGUGAUGGCCUACCAAGGCGACGACGGGUAGCCGGCCUGAGAGGGCGACCGGCCACACUGGGACUGAGACACGGCCCAGACUCCUACGGGAGGCAGCAGGUGGGGAAUCUUGCGCAAGUGGGACGAAAGCCUGACGCAGCGACGCCGCGUGAGGGAU